CCCUUUGAUACUCUGGGCGGCACGCGCGCUACAAUGGAUAAUACAACGUGUUACUUAACCGAAAGGUUAUGUAAAUCACAAAUGUUACGUCUUGAAUGGGAUAGUUUAUUGCAACUACAGACUUGAACUAGGAAUCCCUUGUAGGUACACUGAAGCAUAGUGUACCGAAUACGUCCCUGCCGUUUGUACACACCGCCCGUCGUUUCUUCCGACUGAUACUCAUUGUGAAUUACGGGGAUGCGUUAGCAAAAUCGUUGUAAAUGCUGGGUAUUGGAGGAAGAAAAAGUCGUAACA
This 294-nucleotide ribosomal RNA is filed under the name uncultured eukaryote. Its description in RNAcentral is "partial 18S ribosomal RNA". It matches the Rfam family "Eukaryotic small subunit ribosomal RNA", at positions 1470 to 1796 of the family's 1831-position model. The record is from RNAcentral.